UCCAGACUCCUACGGGAGGCAGCAGUCGGGAAUAUUGCGCAAUGGCGGAAACUCUGACGCAGUGACGCCGCGUAUAGGAAGAAGGUUUUCGGAUUGUAAACUAUUGUCGUGAGGGAAGAAAUUGACAGUACCUCAGGAGGAAGCUCCGGCUAACUAUGUGCCAGCAGCCGCGGUAAUACAUAGGGGGCAAGCGUUAUCCGGAUUUACUGGGUGUAAAGGGAGCGUAGACGGCAGCACAAGUCUGGAGUGAAAUGCCGGGGCUUAACCCCGGAACUGCUUUGGAAACUGUGCAGCUAGAGUGCAGGAGAGGUAAGUGGAAUUCCUAGUGUAGCGGUGAAAUGCGUAGAUAUUAGGAGGAACACCAGUGGCGAAGGCGGCUUACUGGACUGUAACUGACGUUGAGGCUCGAAAGCGUGGGGAGCAAACAGGAUUAGAUACCCGCGUAUG
This 447-nucleotide ribosomal RNA is filed under the name uncultured bacterium. Its description in RNAcentral is "bacterial SSU rRNA". It matches the Rfam family "Bacterial small subunit ribosomal RNA", at positions 330 to 793 of the family's 1533-position model. The record is from RNAcentral.